AACGAACGCUGGCGGCAGGCUUAACACAUGCAAGUCGAGCGCCCCGCAAGGGGAGCGGCAGACGGGUGAGUAACGCGUGGGAACGUACCUUUUGGUUCGGAACAACUCCGGGAAACUGGAGCUAAUACCGGAUAAGCCCUAACGGGGAAAGAUUUAUCGCCGAAAGAUCGGCCCGCGUCUGAUUAGCUAGUUGGUGAGGUAUCGGCUCACCAAGGCGACGAUCAGUAGCUGGUCUGAGAGGAUGAUCAGCCACACUGGGACUGAGACACGGCCCAGACUCCUACGGGAGGCAGCAGUGGGGAAUAUUGGACAAUGGGCGCAAGCCUGAUCCAGCCAUGCCGCGUGAGUGAUGAAGGCCUUAGGGUUGUAAAGCUCUUUUGUCCGGGAAGAUAAUGACUGUACCGGAAGAAUAAGCCCCGGCUAACUUCGUG
RNAcentral lists this ribosomal RNA (431 nucleotides) under uncultured bacterium. RNAcentral describes it as "partial 16S ribosomal RNA". It matches the Rfam family "Bacterial small subunit ribosomal RNA", at positions 29 to 507 of the family's 1533-position model. The record is from RNAcentral.